UGGCUGAGCCAACCGUUGUCUUAACCU
Molecule: non-coding RNA, 27 nt
Filed under: Rattus norvegicus (Norway rat)
Lineage: Eukaryota; Metazoa; Chordata; Mammalia; Rodentia; Muridae
Source: RNAcentral